AUGAAAUAAGUCAGAAAAAUGAAACCAAGAGGUGAUUACAUAGAGUACUGUAAUCGAGAUAUAAUAAAAUCUUUUUUCUGUUUAAGCAAACACUGGUGCAAUUUCUUUUGUAAUUUGCCUUUGAUGUGGUGCCUGAAUUAAGUAGCUUUGUCAAUUGCAGACUUGCAGUUACUAUAUUAAAAACGGGAGUAACUGCUAAAAAAAUCACUGGAUUAUCAUAUCCUUUGUCCUUUCUACUUGUGUUAUGAUACAAAAUGAGGUUAAGGUUCAAGAGAAGGAGACAUUAUUGACUUGCAUUUAAAGGAAUCUUAGGCUUUUGAUGAAAUAUUCAACCUUCAAUGCAUUAAAUAUCUCUCUUUAGUUUAGAAUAGUUGGAUAUUGACAUGGUUUUGAAGGUCGAAAAGAGUAUUCUUUUCUCCAUUUUCUGAAAUGUCAUAUCCAGUGUUGAUUAUGAUUAAGGCAAAUUGCAAUUGCCUAACAUGUUUUGCAAAGUUUGACUGCAUUAGUGGGGGAUGUUUGUAAAUUUAUAUCACCUAACUUUCUUAUCCUGUUCUUGGAGGCUGUAAGAUCAGGACAAAGUCUCUCUUUAUGCGCAGUUCCCAUCAGAUAACAAUAACAUUGAUAUUCCUUUCUCCUUCUUGAGUCCCAUCCUAUUCCACAAUCAAACAUAGAAUGCUUUUGAGAUCUCCUCAUAAUAGUAACUGUUGCUGCUAUUUUCAGAAGAAUUCAGCUGAACAUAAAAGUAAUAGUUGCGUCUAAUUUAUCUAGAAAUAGAAGAACUAAGUAGCUAUAUUACAAACAUAUAAAUGAAGACAGUGUCUUUUCAUACAAAGAAAAAUUUAGCAUUUUUUUCAUUCUUAUAGAGUAAGGACAGUUAAAAACAGUAAUGCAUAACAAUGAACAAAGAAAUUUUGAUCUCAUUUCAUAAACUGUGUUUUAGCUUAUUUAAAACACUUGUAAUUAUCCAUAUUACACAAAACUUGAAAAUAAUGAAAAGUUCCGUUAAGAUAUAACCAAGCACCUUAUACAUGAUAAGAUAAUGAGGAUGCAAGAAAGAUAAGUCGGAAAAUGCACACAAAAGUAAUGACUCACCAAAAAGGUAGUCUCAGUGAAAGAUUGAAAGUAACUGUAAAAAGAAUACACUAGAAUGAUUACUUGCCUUUCUAGCAUCUUUUAAACCAUUUUUGUGCAUUUUCCAUAAGAAAAAACUCAAACGCUAUCAAUUUUCUGAUCUGCAAUAAAGUUAAAGAAUUUUAUUUUAAGAUUAACAUAUUAUAAGGAAGCGUGCAGCAACCUCAUCAUAUAUUGUUAUUAAGAAUUAUUUAUUAAUUAUUUUUAUUUACACUAGAUUAUUAUACUUCAAGAUUACUGUAUAUUAGUUAAACAUUACUUUCCCUUAAAAAAUCUUUAUUCAGCAAACUUUUCUUGCAUAGAAAUGAUAAAUCUUUUCUGUUCGUAAUUUUUCAUUAUGAUUGCACUUGUAUAUGAAGUAGUUUAUUAGAAGUGAAUCAAGCAUUCGAUAGAAUCUCUACCUUAAAGACGUACCUGUGGUUUUUCCAGGGCCGACUGUAUGCCAUAUGAAGUAGUUUAUUAGAAGUGAGUCAAGCAUUCGAUAGAAUCUCUACCUUAAAGAUGUACCUGUGGUUUUUCCAGGGCCGACUGUAUGCUAACAUGUUUAGUGAUUUCUGGAGGCUUUAUCGAUACUAGCUGAUAGACCUACUAUGUGCGGAACACAUAAUGUAGGUCAUAGAGUAGAAAACCCAUAUAAGUAAAAGCAAGCUUAUAUUAGCAGCUAGGGCCUAUAUCAAAACCAAAGAACAUGAAGGACAUAAGCUAGUUGUAGUGUUUGCAUUUUGAGCAUCUCUUUCUAAGUGUCAAGA
RNAcentral lists this long non-coding RNA (1880 nucleotides) under Nicotiana tabacum (common tobacco). RNAcentral's name for it is "long non-coding RNA (NTAB_LNC010486)". Lineage: Eukaryota; Viridiplantae; Streptophyta; Magnoliopsida; Solanales; Solanaceae. The record is from RNAcentral.